This 397-nucleotide ribosomal RNA is filed under the name uncultured bacterium. RNAcentral's name for it is "bacterial SSU rRNA". It matches the Rfam family "Bacterial small subunit ribosomal RNA", at positions 29 to 429 of the family's 1533-position model. The record is from RNAcentral.
AUUGAACGCUGGCGGCAGGCCUAACACAUGCAAGUCGAGCGGCAGCGCGGGGGCAACCCUGGCGGCGAGCGGCGGACGGGUGAGGAAUGCAUCGGAAUCUACCUCGUUGUGGGGGAUAACCUCGGGAAACCGGGACUAAUACCGCAUACGACCUACGGGUGAAAGUGGGGGACCUUCGGGCCUCACGCGAUGAGAUGAGCCGAUGCCGGAUUAGCUAGUUGGCGGGGUAAAGGCCCACCAAGGCGACGAUCCGUAGCUGGUCUGAGAGGAUGAUCAGCCACACUGGAACUGAGACACGGUCCAGACUCCUACGGGAGGCAGCAGUGGGGAAUAUUGGACAAUGGGCGCAAGCCUGAUCCAGCCAUGCCGCGUGUGUGAAGAAGGCCUCGGUUGUAAG